GUGGGGAAUUUUGGACAAUGGGCGCAAGCCUGAUCCAGCAAUGCCGCGUGCAGGAAGAAGGCCUUCGGGUUGUAAACUGCUUUUGUACGGAACGAAACGGUCCGGGUUAAUACCCUGGGCUAAUGACGGUACCGUAAGAAUAAGCACCGGCUAACUACGUGCCAGCAGCCGCGGUAAUACGUAGGGUGCAAGCGUUAAUCGGAAUUACUGGGCGUAAAGCGUGCGCAGGCGGUUUUGUAAGACAGGCGUGAAAUCCCCGGGCUCAACCUGGGAAUUGCGCUUGUGACUGCAAGGCUGGAGUGCGGCAGAGGGGGAUGGAAUUCCGCGUGUAGCAGUGAAAUGCGUAGAUAUGCGGAGGAACACCGAUGGCGAAGGCAAUCCCCUGGACCUGUACUGACGCUCAUGCACGAAAGCGUGGGGAGCAAACAGGAUUAGAAACCCUUGUAGUCC
This 450-nucleotide ribosomal RNA is filed under the name uncultured bacterium. RNAcentral describes it as "bacterial SSU rRNA". It matches the Rfam family "Bacterial small subunit ribosomal RNA", at positions 354 to 796 of the family's 1533-position model. The record is from RNAcentral.